AAAAUAACAAUGUCUCAGAUAAAGAAAGCUUGUUUUUUUUUUCCGGGUAAACUGUGCACAAAGAACAAUUUUAGUGCAAACAUAAACCGAGUACGUGGUGGUUUAAAUAAUGAGAACAGAUUUUUGUUAAGUACGUUACAUAACUUUUUAGACAUAUUAGAUUGUGAAAAAGAAUAUAAAAAUGAUAUAGAAUACAAAAGACUAGAUGAAUUAAGCAAAUAUAUUGAAGUAGUUAAAAUAGAUAAUACACCUGUGAAUAGUUGUAAAUAUUAUAAUUAUAAUUAUGAAAAUGAGAAAAUAUUAUUUGACGAAAAUGAUAAUAUAAAAAGCGAUAUUUUUAAAAAAGAAGAAGAAAAACAUAUAUCAAAUAAAGAAGGGAAAGAGUGUUGUAUAAAAGAAUAUGUACAUAUUCCACCAUUUGUUUUAACAAAAAUAUGUGAAUAUGCAUUUAAAGAAAUUUUAUUUUUUUUAAACAAAAAGCAUUUAAAACAAUUAAAAAAUAUAUUAGAUGAUAAAGAAUCUAGUCCAAAUGAUAAAUAUGUUGCUAUGACGUUAAUAAAGAAUGCUGUCAUCAGCUCAGAACAGCAUUUACCUGGAUGUCAAGACACAGGCACAGCUAUAAUUUUAGGAAAAAAAGACGAAGAGAUUAUUACCACGUUUGACCAUAAAUAUUUAAACUUAGGUGUUUAUAAUGCUUACAAAAAUAACAAUUUUCGGUAUAGCCAAUUGUCACCUCUAGACAUGUUUAAUGAAAUAAACACAAAAAAUAAUUUACCAUGUCAGAUUGAAAUAUAUAACAACAUUAGAAAGGAUAAAUAUAUUCAAGAUAGCUGUAGCGAAUAUACAGAGAGUAGUAAUAGGAGUGGUGAUAGUAAGCAAAGUGUAAAAGAUAGUGAACGUACAAAACCAUCUUAUUUGGAGGGACCAAAAUAUGAAUUAAUUUUUAUUGCAAAAGGAGGCGGAAGUGCUAACAAAAGCUUUUUAUUUCAACAAACGAAAAGUAUAUUAAAUAAAGAUGUUUUAUACGAUUUUUUGAUUGAAAAGAUUAAAGAAAUUGGUACUUCAGCAUGUCCUCCGUAUCAUCUUGCUAUAGUUAUAGGUGGUCUAUCAGCUGAAAUGAAUUUAAAAACUGUUAAAUUAGCUUCAUGUAGGUAUUUAGAUAAUUUAAAAACUAGUGGUAAUAUAUAUGGUCAAGGGUUUCGUGAUAUAGCUAGUGAGCAAAUAUUAUUAGAAAAAGCACAAAAUUUAGGUAUAGGAGCACAAUUUGGUGGUAAAUAUUUUGUACAUGAUGUGCGUGUAAUACGUCUGCCUAGGCACUCUGCUUCAUGCCCUAUAGGUAUAGGUGUAUCAUGUUCUGCCGAUAGACAAAUAAAAUGUAUAAUUAAUAAAAAUGGAGUUUUUAUUGAAGAAUUAGAACAUAAUCCAAUACAAUAUUUACCCGAAAUAACAUUAAACGAUUUACCUAACAAAGAUGAAGGAGUUAAAAUUAAUUUAAAUGAUAGUAUGAGUAAUAUAAUAAAAAAAAUAUCAAACUAUCCAGUUUCGACAUUAUUGUUAUUAACAGGUAGAUUAGUGGUAGCUAGAGAUACUGCUCAUAAAAAAAUUGUUGAUAAUUUUGUUAAUAAAAAUAUACCUAUACCAGAAUAUUUAAAAAAAUAUCCUAUUUAUUAUGCAGGUCCAGCUAAAACACCAAACAAUUAUGUUAGUGGUUCUUUUGGACCAACUACAGCUGGUCGUAUGGAUGCAUACAUUGAAGUAUUAAUGGAAAAUAAUGCAUCAUUAAUAUCACUAGCAAAAGGAAAUAGAUCUUUUGUUGUAAGAAAUGCAUGUAAAAAAUAUAAAGGUUUUUAUUUAGGCAGUAUAGGUGGACCUGGAGCUAUAUUAGCCAAACAAAACAUAAAAAGUGUAAAUGUAAUUGAUUUUCAUGAUUUAGGAAUGGAAGCAGUACAUUUAAUAGAUGUUGAAGACUUUCCUGCUUUUAUUGUAAUAGAUGACAAAGGAAAUGAUUUUUACAACAAAUGGAUACCAUAAAAACUUUUUGGGUUUUUAAACCGUUAAAAUAAUAUUUUUUUUUUUUUUUUUUUUUUUUUUUUUUUUAAACGAUUGUAAUGGGUAAAUAUGACGUGACUGUUCAUUUAUAAAUGGGUUUCUAUAGGUAGUCUGUGCGUUACAUCUUCCAUUGCUUACUUAAACAUACUCAUUAUAAAAAAAAUUACG
This 2217-nucleotide long non-coding RNA is filed under the name Piliocolobus tephrosceles (Ugandan red Colobus). RNAcentral's name for it is "lncRNA (ENSPTEG00000012767.1)". The record is from RNAcentral. Lineage: Eukaryota; Metazoa; Chordata; Mammalia; Primates; Cercopithecidae.